GGCCUCGUAGCUCAGUUGGCUAGAGCAUUUGCUGCAGUAAAGCCUUCACCUUGCUGGCGUGGGUUCAAAUCCCACCGAGUUUU
RNAcentral lists this transfer RNA (83 nucleotides) under Schistocephalus solidus. It matches the Rfam family "tRNA". From Rfam's summary of the family: Transfer RNA (tRNA) molecules are approximately 80 nucleotides in length. Lineage: Eukaryota; Metazoa; Platyhelminthes; Cestoda; Diphyllobothriidea; Diphyllobothriidae. The record is from Rfam by way of RNAcentral.